Phyllostomus hastatus (greater spear-nosed bat) is the source of this 526-nucleotide long non-coding RNA. RefSeq lists it as uncharacterized. The transcript has 3 exons. Lineage: Eukaryota; Metazoa; Chordata; Mammalia; Chiroptera; Phyllostomidae. The record is from RefSeq and is a predicted model, not a curated record.
CGGGGCUCGGAGGGGACUGUCGUUUGACGAGUCUUUCCAGUUCCCAUGGAAUUUGUGUUGACUCUUUCAGCCCUAGAGACACAUGCUGCCACCAGCCCAGUUUAAACUGAGAGGGCGGGGAGGUUCAGCCGCUUCUCCGAUGGGCUCAGCGGUCACGAGCGUGGGUUUCCUGGACGGCCGGGUCUGAAGACAAGUCCUGGGUCUGCUACUGACGAUGUGACACUCUGAAUAAGUCAUUUCCCCCAUCCUGAGACUUCAUUUCCUCAUCUGCUAAGUGGGAAUGAUGAUAUCUGCUUCAUAGGAUCGCAAGACAGGGGAAGGGAGAAAGAAACACUGAUGCAGAGAGAAGCACAGAUUGGCCGCCUUCCCAUACACGCCCUGCCCGGGUUCAGCACUGUGACCUUUCAGUUUACAGGACGCUCCAACCAUCUGAGCCACACAGGCCGAAGCAAAAAUAAGUAUUUUAAAUAAAAAGGCAGAGAAAAAAUCAUAAAGAAAAAGUUUUGUCUGUAAACACUCCAAAUGU